This is a long non-coding RNA of Cyprinus carpio carpio, 1328 nucleotides long. The record is from Ensembl. Lineage: Eukaryota; Metazoa; Chordata; Actinopteri; Cypriniformes; Cyprinidae.
GUAAGAAAAGUAUAUAUGUGUAUGUUGUAAAAGGUUUUUUUUUUUUUUUCCAGAACACUUCUAAAAAAUUACAAUUUUGAAUUUAAUGAGAAAACAGUCAAAAUCUUUACUGUAGAUGUUAAUACACGUGGUAAUUGUGGUAGUGUUCACUCUUGUAUCCUAACACUAAAACUUGUUUUCUUGCAAAACAUUUAAAAUCAAGAUAAACAUCAUUCUGUGUAAUUUUAAGUUAAUUUAUACAGGUUAUAAAUAAUGUAUAAUUAUUCAUUUAGAGGUUAUAUAGGAAUUUAUGGCAGUUCAUGGAUGUAUUUCAUCCUCUGGCUGUGCUAUGUGGCCUUAUCACUGUCCUGGGUCACCUAUCAUCUUUAAUAGCUGUUCACUGCAGUCUGGUCUGAAUUAGGUGACAUGUCAGUCUCACCGCUGCCCGUGGUGAGGUGGUGAACUGUAUGCAGGUGUAAUGUGUCUCAGUAGGGGUCUUAGGAGCAAGGCAGAGGGCAAGAGCAGCCAUGAUCUUGUCACUAAACAGCUGGGCUCUCCCUUUCUUUCUCACACCUAGCUGCCUCAGUUCAUAAUUAUAUACACGAGGAAAUAUUCUAAGAACGUUCGAUAUCUGUUUUGAAUAUUUUCAGAAGCAGACUACAGAUGAAACUGAUCACAUUUAUUAGGAUAUUGUAUAAUUUUUUGUAUCUGUGUCUGCAAAAUUACAGGUUUACAGCACAAACAUGGUAGAUUAAGGCAAAGGCCCCCAGAUGGACACACUUAUUGACUGACAUUAUACAGGAUGCAGUAUUGUGAGAGAUAUUAGAUUCCUGGAGAGCUUAUGUAGUGAUCAUGCACGAAUCAUGUGAGUGGACAGCCAGUCGGAAUGCACCAUUGUUCUGGUGACUGUGCUAAAGAACUUUUAGUUUUGUUUCAUGAUGUUACCUCAGAUGUUCAUCCUUGGCCACAUCCUGCCAAACCUUCACACCCUUUUGUCAAGGAGCUCUCCCAGGCACUGAAAAAACUCAAAUUAAAGACGCUCUUUUCCAGUCACCACCCCCUGUUAGCAGACCACCCUGUUGUCACACCAGUAUGUCUCACCAUGCUGCAGCUCCUUGUCAGACCCAGCCAAAACCUAACUGUACUACAGUGCAGAACCCUGGAUGAAACCAUUGCCUUUCUCUUCCCGAACAGGGACCGAGCCAACCCACUCAGCUGCCUUUCUAUCAAGUACCGCCCCCAGAGGUUUAUCUGACACAAAGUCAGUUUGUUUCAAGAGACUUGAGCCAGUGCCACAAACUUCACACCCAGCUAAAACAUCCCAGCAUAGGGUUGAUGCUGUGUCCUAC